This 504-nucleotide ribosomal RNA is filed under the name Imatidium capense. RNAcentral's name for it is "partial 16S ribosomal RNA". It matches the Rfam family "Bacterial large subunit ribosomal RNA", at positions 1830 to 2600 of the family's 2925-position model. Lineage: Eukaryota; Metazoa; Arthropoda; Insecta; Coleoptera; Chrysomelidae. The record is from RNAcentral.
GUCCUAAAGAUUAUAAUUUUAGGUCUGGCCUGCCCACUGAAAAUUAAAUGGCCGCAGUAUUUUGACUGUGCUAAGGUAGCAUAAUCAUUAGUUUCUUAAUUAGAAGCUGGAAUGAAAGGUUUGAUGAAAAAUGAAUUGUCUCUUUUAAAUUUGGAUUGAAUUUUAUUUUUGAGUAAAAAAGCUUAAAUGAGUUUAAGGGACGAGAAGACCCUAUAGAGUUUGAUAGUUUAUUAAUUGAAAUUUAUUUAGUAAUUACUAUUUUUUAAAAGAUUAUUUAGUUGGGGUGACUUAAAAAUUGAAUUAACUUUUUGAAAUUAAAACAUUAAUGUAUGAUUAUAUGAUCCUGUUUAAUAGAUUAAAAGAAUAAAUUACCUUAGGGAUAACAGCGUAAUCUUUUAUAGAGUUCUUAUCGAAAAAAGGGAUUGCGACCUCGAUGUUGGAUUAGAAUAAAUUUUAGGUGUAGCUGCUUAAAAAUUAGGUCUGUUCGACCUUUAAAAUUCUACA